This is a transfer RNA of Cavia porcellus (domestic guinea pig), 70 nucleotides long. It matches the Rfam family "tRNA". Rfam says of the family: Transfer RNA (tRNA) molecules are approximately 80 nucleotides in length. Their secondary structure includes four short double-helical elements and three loops (D, anti-codon, and T loops). Further hydrogen bonds mediate the characteristic L-shaped molecular structure. tRNAs have two regions of fundamental functional importance: the anti-codon, which is responsible for specific mRNA codon recognition, and the 3' end, to which the tRNAs corresponding amino acid is attached (by aminoacyl-tRNA synthetases). tRNAs cope with the degeneracy of the genetic code in two manners: having more than one tRNA (with a specific anti-codon) for a particular amino acid; and 'wobble' base-pairing, i.e. permitting non-standard base-pairing at the 3rd anti-codon position. NCBI's taxonomy places the organism in Eukaryota, Metazoa, Chordata, Mammalia, Rodentia, Caviidae. The record is from Rfam.
GGGGAUUUAGCUCAGAGGCAUAAGCACCUGUCUUGCAAGCAGGCAGUCCUGGGUUUGAUCCCCGGUACCA